This 206-nucleotide ribosomal RNA is filed under the name uncultured bacterium. RNAcentral describes it as "partial 16S ribosomal RNA". It matches the Rfam family "Bacterial small subunit ribosomal RNA", at positions 568 to 774 of the family's 1533-position model. The record is from RNAcentral.
CACGUAGGCGGAUAUUUAAGUCAGGGGUGAAAUCCCAGAGCUCAACUCUGGAACUGCCUUUGAUACUGGGUAUCUUGAGUAUGGAAGAGGUAAGUGGAAUUCCGAGUGUAGAGGUGAAAUUCGUAGAUAUUCGGAGGAACACCAGUGGCGAAGGCGGCUUACUGGUCCAUUACUGACGCUGAGGUGCGAAAGCGUGGGAGCAAACA